This 215-nucleotide long non-coding RNA is filed under the name Musa acuminata (dwarf banana). RNAcentral's name for it is "long non-coding RNA (MACU_LNC008145)". The record is from RNAcentral. Lineage: Eukaryota; Viridiplantae; Streptophyta; Magnoliopsida; Zingiberales; Musaceae.
AUGCAGUGCCAUCCGAGCAGCAACCUUACUAUUCAGGAAGUUAUUAGUGCUACCCGUGUCGAUGAGAACAGUGAUCGGCUGUUGUUUGAGAAGGCCUCCAACUUUCAUCGUUUGCGGAUUUGAGUAGCCGGCUAGUGCGUGUACCGUAAUGUCGGUCGGCUGUGGCUCUUCUUCCAUAUCUUCUUCUUCAUGUUCAAGGCUCUCUUCUAGAUGUU